This 993-nucleotide ribosomal RNA is filed under the name Acinetobacter sp. KSA30. Its description in RNAcentral is "bacterial SSU rRNA". It matches the Rfam family "Bacterial small subunit ribosomal RNA", at positions 57 to 1044 of the family's 1533-position model. The record is from RNAcentral. Lineage: Bacteria; Pseudomonadati; Pseudomonadota; Gammaproteobacteria; Moraxellales; Moraxellaceae.
GCAAGUCGAGCGGGGGAAGGUAGCUUGCUACUGGACCUAGCGGCGGACGGGUGAGUAAUGCUUAGGAAUCUGCCUAUUAGUGGGGGACAACAUUCCGAAAGGAAUGCUAAUACCGCAUACGUCCUACGGGAGAAAGCAGGGGACCUUCGGGCCUUGCGCUAAUAGAUGAGCCUAAGUCGGAUUAGCUAGUUGGUGGGGUAAAGGCCUACCAAGGCGACGAUCUGUAGCGGGUCUGAGAGGAUGAUCCGCCACACUGGGACUGAGACACGGCCCAGACUCCUACGGGAGGCAGCAGUGGGGAAUAUUGGACAAUGGGGGGAACCCUGAUCCAGCCAUGCCGCGUGUGUGAAGAAGGCCUUAUGGUUGUAAAGCACUUUAAGCGAGGAGGAGGCUACUAGUAUUAAUACUACUGGAUAGUGGACGUUACUCGCAGAAUAAGCACCGGCUAACUCUGUGCCAGCAGCCGCGGUAAUACAGAGGGUGCGAGCGUUAAUCGGAUUUACUGGGCGUAAAGCGUGCGUAGGCGGCCAUUUAAGUCAAAUGUGAAAUCCCCGAGCUUAACUUGGGAAUUGCAUUCGAUACUGGAUGGCUAGAGUAUGGGAGAGGAUGGUAGAAUUCCAGGUGUAGCGGUGAAAUGCGUAGAGAUCUGGAGGAAUACCGAUGGCGAAGGCAGCCAUCUGGCCUAAUACUGACGCUGAGGUACGAAAGCAUGGGGAGCAAACAGGAUUAGAUACCCUGGUAGUCCAUGCCGUANACGAUGUCUACUAGCCGUUGGGGCCUUUGAGGCUUUAGUGGCGCAGCUAACGCGAUAAGUAGACCGCCUGGGGAGUACGGUCGCAAGACUAANACUCANAUGAAUUGACGGGGGCCCGCACAAGCGGUGGAGCAUGUGGUUUAAUUCGAUGCAACGCGGAGAACCUUACCUGGCCUUGACAUACUAGAAACUUUCCAGAGAUGGAUUGGUGCCUUCGGGAAUCUAGAUACAGGUGCUGC